GGACAUCAGCCGCAGAGUUGCUGCCUUCCAAUUUGAACUGCACGAGGACCAACGUGCAGAAAUGUCUCCCCAGGCCCAAGGUUUUGGUGUGGAUGGUGCCUGCAGGCCCUGCAGUGAUGCCGAGCUCCUUCUGACUGCAUGCACCAGUGACUUUGGUGAGCCUCAGGGACUGUCACAACGUGUCUGUGUUCCUGGCUCCCAGUGUGCUCCCUCUGCUGGAGGACAAGCUGCAAGUGGAGCUUCCUGCAGGGGCCCGUGUGGUGUCUGGACGGUUCCCCUUUCCCACAUGGAAGCCUGUAGCCGUGGUGGGCGAGGGCACCGACAGAGUUUGGGCCUAUGAUGUCCACGGUGCUGGGCCAGCUGUGUCUUCCAGUGGGGUGCCCAUCAAGGCCAUCCCAGAGUCCAGUUCUACCUAGAUCCCUAGGGCCCCUGCUUGACAAGCUGGCUGAUUGGAUAAAAUAAAGACUCUGUGGGUUCA
Molecule: long non-coding RNA, 478 nt
Filed under: Rattus norvegicus (Norway rat)
Lineage: Eukaryota; Metazoa; Chordata; Mammalia; Rodentia; Muridae
Description: long non-coding RNA NONRATT005287
Source: RNAcentral